RNAcentral lists this ribosomal RNA (2900 nucleotides) under Klebsiella pneumoniae. Its description in RNAcentral is "bacterial LSU rRNA". It matches the Rfam family "Bacterial large subunit ribosomal RNA". The record is from RNAcentral. Lineage: Bacteria; Pseudomonadati; Pseudomonadota; Gammaproteobacteria; Enterobacterales; Enterobacteriaceae.
UUAAGCGACUAAGCGUACACGGUGGAUGCCCUGGCAGUCAGAGGCGAUGAAGGACGUGCUAAUCUGCGAAAAGCGUCGGUAAGGUGAUAUGAACCGUUAUAGCCGGCGAUGUCCGAAUGGGGAAACCCAGUGCAAUUCGUUGCACUAUCGUUAACUGAAUACAUAGGUUAACGAGGCGAACCGGGGGAACUGAAACAUCUAAGUACCCCGAGGAAAAGAAAUCAACCGAGAUUCCCCCAGUAGCGGCGAGCGAACGGGGAGCAGCCCAGAGUCUGAAUCAGCUUGUGUGUUAGUGGAACGGUCUGGAAAGUCCGACGGUACAGGGUGAUAGUCCCGUACACCAAAAUGCACAGGCUGUGAACUCGAAGAGUAGGGCGGGACACGUGGUAUCCUGUCUGAAUAUGGGGGGACCAUCCUCCAAGGCUAAAUACUCCUGACUGACCGAUAGUGAACCAGUACCGUGAGGGAAAGGCGAAAAGAACCCCGGCGAGGGGAGUGAAAAAGAACCUGAAACCGUGUACGUACAAGCAGUGGGAGCACCUUCGGGUGUGACUGCGUACCUUUUGUAUAAUGGGUCAGCGACUUAUAUUCUGUAGCAAGGUUAACCGUAUAGGGGAGCCGCAGGGAAACCGAGUCUUAACUGGGCGUUAAGUUGCAGGGUAUAGACCCGAAACCCGGUGAUCUAGCCAUGGGCAGGUUGAAGGUUGGGUAACACUAACUGGAGGACCGAACCGACUAAUGUUGAAAAAUUAGCGGAUGACUUGUGGCUGGGGGUGAAAGGCCAAUCAAACCGGGAGAUAGCUGGUUCUCCCCGAAAGCUAUUUAGGUAGCGCCUCGUGAACUCAUCUUCGGGGGUAGAGCACUGUUUCGGCUAGGGGGUCAUCCCGACUUACCAACCCGAUGCAAACUACGAAUACCGAAGAAUGUUAUCACGGGAGACACACGGCGGGUGCUAACGUCCGUCGUGAAGAGGGAAACAACCCAGACCGCCAGCUAAGGUCCCAAAGUCAUGGUUAAGUGGGAAACGAUGUGGGAAGGCACAGACAGCCAGGAUGUUGGCUUAGAAGCAGCCAUCAUUUAAAGAAAGCGUAAUAGCUCACUGGUCGAGUCGGCCUGCGCGGAAGAUGUAACGGGGCUAAACCAUGCACCGAAGCUGCGGCAGCGACACUAUGUGUUGUUGGGUAGGGGAGCGUUCUGUAAGCCUGCGAAGGUGACCUGUGAGGGUUGCUGGAGGUAUCAGAAGUGCGAAUGCUGACAUAAGUAACGAUAAAGCGGGUGAAAAGCCCGCUCGCCGGAAGACCAAGGGUUCCUGUCCAACGUUAAUCGGGGCAGGGUGAGUCGACCCCUAAGGCGAGGCCGAAAGGCGUAGUCGAUGGGAAACAGGUUAAUAUUCCUGUACUUGGUGUUACUGCGAAGGGGGGACGGAGAAGGCUAUGUUAGCCGGGCGACGGUUGUCCCGGUUUAAGCAUGUAGGCUGGUUAUCCAGGCAAAUCCGGAUAAUCAAGGCUGAGGUGUGAUGACGAGGCACUACGGUGCUGAAGUAACAAAUGCCCUGCUUCCAGGAAAAGCCUCUAAGCAUCAGGUAACAUCAAAUCGUACCCCAAACCGACACAGGUGGUCAGGUAGAGAAUACCAAGGCGCUUGAGAGAACUCGGGUGAAGGAACUAGGCAAAAUGGUGCCGUAACUUCGGGAGAAGGCACGCUGGUGUGUAGGUGAAGUCCCUGCGGAUGGAGCUGAGACCAGUCGAAGAUACCAGCUGGCUGCAACUGUUUAUUAAAAACACAGCACUGUGCAAACACGAAAGUGGACGUAUACGGUGUGACGCCUGCCCGGUGCCGGAAGGUUAAUUGAUGGGGUUAUCCGUAAGGAGAAGCUCUUGAUCGAAGCCCCGGUAAACGGCGGCCGUAACUAUAACGGUCCUAAGGUAGCGAAAUUCCUUGUCGGGUAAGUUCCGACCUGCACGAAUGGCGUAAUGAUGGCCAGGCUGUCUCCACCCGAGACUCAGUGAAAUUGAACUCGCUGUGAAGAUGCAGUGUACCCGCGGCAAGACGGAAAGACCCCGUGAACCUUUACUAUAGCUUGACACUGAACAUUGAGCCUUGAUGUGUAGGAUAGGUGGGAGGCUUUGAAGCGUGGACGCCAGUCUGCGUGGAGCCAACCUUGAAAUACCACCCUUUAAUGUUUGAUGUUCUAACGUUGGCCCCUUACCGGGGUUGCGGACAGUGUCUGGUGGGUAGUUUGACUGGGGCGGUCUCCUCCCAAAGCGUAACGGAGGAGCACGAAGGUUAGCUAAUCCUGGUCGGACAUCAGGAGGUUAGUGCAAUGGCAUAAGCUAGCUUGACUGCGAGCGUGACGGCGCGAGCAGGUGCGAAAGCAGGUCAUAGUGAUCCGGUGGUUCUGAAUGGAAGGGCCAUCGCUCAACGGAUAAAAGGUACUCCGGGGAUAACAGGCUGAUACCGCCCAAGAGUUCAUAUCGACGGCGGUGUUUGGCACCUCGAUGUCGGCUCAUCACAUCCUGGGGCUGAAGUAGGUCCCAAGGGUAUGGCUGUUCGCCAUUUAAAGUGGUACGCGAGCUGGGUUUAGAACGUCGUGAGACAGUUCGGUCCCUAUCUGCCGUGGGCGCUGGAGAAUUGAGGGGGGCUGCUCCUAGUACGAGAGGACCGGAGUGGACGCAUCACUGGUGUUCGGGUUGUCAUGCCAAUGGCACUGCCCGGUAGCUAAAUGCGGAAGAGAUAAGUGCUGAAAGCAUCUAAGCACGAAACUUGCCCCGAGAUGAGUUCUCCCUGAGACUUUAAGUCUCCUGAAGGAACGUUGAAGACGACGACGUUGAUAGGCCGGGUGUGUAAGCGCAGCGAUGCGUUGAGCUAACCGGUACUAAUGAACCGUGAGGCUUAACCUU